AUAUUAACGUUGAGAAGGAUCAGUAGGACUGAGCAGUGAUACAGAGAGUAUGCGGGCGGUGUGAGCAUAACACUUAUCAGUUUGAACUCACCUUUGAGUUUCUUGUUGAACAGAGUAAACAAGAACGGUAUUUCCCGUUAUGAAAUUGAGUGUCGGCAUUUUGCCGAAAUUUAGGUGGUACCGCGAGUAAUUCGUCCUAUAC
Molecule: non-coding RNA, 202 nt
Filed under: Ligilactobacillus acidipiscis
Lineage: Bacteria; Bacillati; Bacillota; Bacilli; Lactobacillales; Lactobacillaceae
Description: Lactobacillus acidipiscis T-box sequence
Rfam family: T-box leader
About the family: Uncharged tRNA acts as the effector for transcription antitermination of genes in the T-box leader family.
Source: RNAcentral